This is a small nuclear RNA of Notechis scutatus (mainland tiger snake), 161 nucleotides long. Its record names the gene U1. It matches the Rfam family "U1 spliceosomal RNA". From Rfam's summary of the family: U1 is a small nuclear RNA (snRNA) component of the spliceosome (involved in pre-mRNA splicing). Its 5' end forms complementary base pairs with the 5' splice junction, thus defining the 5' donor site of an intron. The record is from Ensembl. Lineage: Eukaryota; Metazoa; Chordata; Lepidosauria; Squamata; Elapidae.
AUACUUACCUGGCAGGGAAGAUACCAUGAUCGUGAAGGUGGUUUUCCCAGAUGAGGCUCAUCCAUCACACUUCAGGGGUUUUCCCCAAAUGCUCUAGGCAUGGUUCUUAGUGCAGUUUUUAAUAAUAUCUUAAUGUUGGUUCAUUUUAAUAUCUUAACUAU